AAGUCGUAACAAGGUUUCCGUAGGUGAACCUGCGGAAGGAUCAUUAACACGUAUCCAACGUUAAACAACCCUGUGAACUUUAAGCCUACUCUUGCAGCCCAUGAGGAACAGCAAUCCCGGUAAAUCAUUGCCAAACAGUUUUGAUUCGGGACCUCUGUCCAAAAGGAGUUGCAAUUGAGUGGUAGAUGCAGUGGCAUGGCUUCCCCAAGCAGUUAGUGAAUGACAGUGUCACUGACUGUCCGACCGGCAGACAUGUCACAGGGCUAGAAAAUGCCCCGCCUAGUGGUAACGCGCUAGGUAAAAAAACCGAACAACUGUUAACAAUGGAUAUCUUGGUUCUC
This 341-nucleotide unclassified non-coding RNA is filed under the name fungal sp. RNAcentral's name for it is "partial internal transcribed spacer region". The stretch from base 1 to 46 matches the Rfam family "Eukaryotic small subunit ribosomal RNA", at positions 1786 to 1831 of the family's 1831-position model. The record is from RNAcentral. Lineage: Eukaryota; Fungi.